GCCAACGUACCGAAAUGGUUAUAACGGCGCUGUCUUGAAAACAGAUGUGCUAUGGAGAACAUGGCUUGUGGGUUCAAAUCCUACCGUUGGCG
This 92-nucleotide transfer RNA is filed under the name Bacteriophage sp. RNAcentral describes it as "tRNA-Ser". It matches the Rfam family "tRNA". From Rfam's summary of the family: Transfer RNA (tRNA) molecules are approximately 80 nucleotides in length. Their secondary structure includes four short double-helical elements and three loops (D, anti-codon, and T loops). The record is from RNAcentral.